Molecule: non-coding RNA, 173 nt
Filed under: Photobacterium profundum
Lineage: Bacteria; Pseudomonadati; Pseudomonadota; Gammaproteobacteria; Vibrionales; Vibrionaceae
Also listed under: 1 other name
Description: Lysine sequence
Rfam family: Lysine riboswitch aptamer
About the family: Riboswitches are metabolite binding domains within certain messenger RNAs that serve as precision sensors for their corresponding targets. Allosteric rearrangement of mRNA structure is mediated by ligand binding, and this results in modulation of gene expression.
Source: RNAcentral
UUAAUCAGUAGAGGUGCGCUGCCUAUAAGUAACCGUGCGGAGGAUGAUACCGACGAUGCCGGAGAAAGGAGUCAGUGCCGAAGUAACUGUUGUUAUCACACUCAGUUGCUGGGUCUGCGUCGAAUAGGCGCAGGACUGCCAUAGUUUUUUUCCUAUGGAGCGCUACCUGAAGG